AGGCAGCAGUGAGGAAUUUUGGUCAAUGGGCGGAAGCCUGACGUACGAACGCCGCGUGCAGGAAGACGGCCCUACGGGUUGUAAACUGCUUUUGUACGGGAAUAAACCCCGGUUUGGGAGGAGCUGUUAGUACCGUACGAAUAAGGCCCGGCUAACUACGUG
RNAcentral lists this ribosomal RNA (162 nucleotides) under uncultured bacterium. Its description in RNAcentral is "partial 16S ribosomal RNA". It matches the Rfam family "Bacterial small subunit ribosomal RNA", at positions 346 to 507 of the family's 1533-position model. The record is from RNAcentral.